RNAcentral lists this unclassified non-coding RNA (199 nucleotides) under soil metagenome. Its description in RNAcentral is "partial contains 5.8S ribosomal RNA, internal transcribed spacer 2, and large subunit ribosomal RNA". The record is from RNAcentral.
AAGACUAUAGACCUGCGGAGUACCUGCGGAGGGAUCAUUACUGAACUUGUGGAGGCGGUUCUUACCCCUCCCAACUUCUAUUCAUCUCACUCGAGCACCGUGGGAGCGAGCGCUCCGUCAUUUCUUUCUACCCAUCGAACGUUGCAAGGCGACGCUGGAAAGCGAAACAUAUAAACACAACUUUUAGCAACGGAUCUCU